This is a long non-coding RNA of Sinocyclocheilus anshuiensis, 392 nucleotides long. RefSeq lists it as uncharacterized. The transcript has 3 exons. Lineage: Eukaryota; Metazoa; Chordata; Actinopteri; Cypriniformes; Cyprinidae. The record is from RefSeq and is a predicted model, not a curated record.
AGAAAGAAGAGAAAGUCAAGUAUUUGACCACCGCAAGAGGGUCUGCAAGAAAAGGCACACACACUUUGGUAAAAGUUGCAGGCCAGCGAGGAGAAAGUUAAUAGCCAGGGCUUAGAAGUCAGCCCGCUCAAGUCCAAAUUACAGGAAAAGACAGAACAAUCUCAACAGCUGCAAGAUCAAAUUCUCAAGCAGCAGGAGGCUCUAAGUAGGGCAAGCCAAACUCUCAAAGACACCAGGAAAGCAGCUGGCAAUAAGAUUUCGUCAGUAAUUUAAGUGGACGAAAUUGUCCCUGGCCGUCAGAAUGACUUUGCAGUUCUCCUCAAACGUCAGACCCAACUCUCCUCUCAUAGAAGAACUCUUGUCAACUCUUUCAGUUCGCAAAGUCUUAAUAA